RNAcentral lists this transfer RNA (86 nucleotides) under Acidimicrobiia bacterium. RNAcentral describes it as "tRNA-Leu". It matches the Rfam family "tRNA". From Rfam's summary of the family: Transfer RNA (tRNA) molecules are approximately 80 nucleotides in length. Their secondary structure includes four short double-helical elements and three loops (D, anti-codon, and T loops). Further hydrogen bonds mediate the characteristic L-shaped molecular structure. tRNAs have two regions of fundamental functional importance: the anti-codon, which is responsible for specific mRNA codon recognition, and the 3' end, to which the tRNAs corresponding amino acid is attached (by aminoacyl-tRNA synthetases). tRNAs cope with the degeneracy of the genetic code in two manners: having more than one tRNA (with a specific anti-codon) for a particular amino acid; and 'wobble' base-pairing, i.e. permitting non-standard base-pairing at the 3rd anti-codon position. Lineage: Bacteria; Bacillati; Actinomycetota; Acidimicrobiia. The record is from RNAcentral.
GCGGGCGUGGCGGAAUUGGAAGACGCGCCAGGUUUAGGUCCUGGUGAGCACUGCUCGUGGGGGUUCGAGUCCCUCCGCCCGCACCA